Molecule: ribosomal RNA, 441 nt
Filed under: Triticum aestivum (bread wheat)
Lineage: Eukaryota; Viridiplantae; Streptophyta; Magnoliopsida; Poales; Poaceae
Description: partial small subunit ribosomal RNA
Source: RNAcentral
AUGUGGCGCACGCACGUGAACGGCUCCCCCGCCCUUUUCGUCGGGUCGCCGCGACAGCAGCAGCCUCGCUCGCUGGCCGGCCAAAUUUCCGUAGCCCGGCGUGCGCAGCCCUUGUCCGCUGUCUCACGUCGCUGCGCUGGCUCUCGCUGGUUCGCCAGCACGAUGGUCCUUCCGUUUCCUGCUCCAUCAGUUUCGGAAAUUUUCCUAUCCUUCUCGCAAACAAAAAAACCAAAUAAAUUCCACCAGAAAAAAUCGAAGGCGAAUUCGCCUGUCAAAGUCACGUGGAACACGUGUGUUUCAGACGGAGGUAAGAUUUUCCUUUUCCAGAUUAUAUUUCGCGUAGAAAGAAGCGCCGCUGGUACGAUUUGGGCCUGGUUUAAUCUCCAGUACCCUUCCUUUUUAUUUACUGUCUCGCGCUUUCACUCGCUACCAUUUCUUUAG